UACGGGGGGGGCUAGCGUUGUUCGGAAUUACUGGGCGUAAAGCGCGCGUAGGCGGGUCACUAAGGCAGGGGGGAAAUCCCGAGGCUUAACCUCGGAACUGCCUUUGAUACUGGUGACCUGGAGAUCGGGAGAGGUUGGUGGAAUUCCGAGUGUAGAGGUGAAAUUCGUAGAUAUUCGCAAGAACACCAGUGGCGAAGGCGGCCAACUGGGCCGGUACUGACGCUGAGGUGCGAAAGCGUGGGGAGCAAACAGG
RNAcentral lists this ribosomal RNA (253 nucleotides) under uncultured bacterium. Its description in RNAcentral is "partial 16S ribosomal RNA". It matches the Rfam family "Bacterial small subunit ribosomal RNA", at positions 524 to 776 of the family's 1533-position model. The record is from RNAcentral.